Molecule: long non-coding RNA, 456 nt
Filed under: Mus musculus (house mouse)
Lineage: Eukaryota; Metazoa; Chordata; Mammalia; Rodentia; Muridae
Description: predicted gene, 50013
Source: RNAcentral
AGCAAAAACUAGAGCAGUCGUAGCAAUUGUGUCCUAAUAUCCAGGCUAUAUCAAAUGCAGGUCUAAAAGUUCCGGUGAAAAGGCCCAAUCACCAACACUUUCCUUGAAGAGAAAAGUACACAACACAUAAGAUGCAUCCUCCAAGAAUACUAAAAUGUAUAUAGAAGCCGGGCGGUGGUGGCACACGCCUUUAAUCCCAGCACUCGGGAGGCAGAGGCAGGUGGAUUUCUGAGUUCAAGGACAUCAAGUGCUACAGUGACAAACCCUACUUAGAAAAACAAAACAAAACGUUAAAACACACAUACACUCACACAUGCAUACACAUACACACACACAGAGCCAGACAUAAUAGUGCAAGUCUUUAAUAUCAGCACAUGGGAAGAAGAAGCAGGCAGAUCUCUGUAAGUAAGGCCAGCCUGGUCUACACAGCCAAAUUUUAGGACAACCACGACUAUA